This 467-nucleotide ribosomal RNA is filed under the name uncultured bacterium. RNAcentral describes it as "partial 16S ribosomal RNA". It matches the Rfam family "Bacterial small subunit ribosomal RNA", at positions 28 to 506 of the family's 1533-position model. The record is from RNAcentral.
GACGAACGCUGGCGGCGUGCUUAACACAUGCAAGUCGAACGGAAAGGCCCUGCUUUUGUGGGGUGCUCGAGUGGCGAACGGGUGAGUAACACGUGAGUAACCUGCCCUUGACUUUGGGAUAACUUCAGGAAACUGGGGCUAAUACCGGAUAGGAGCUCCUGCUGCAUGGUGGGGGUUGGAAAGUUUCGGCGGUUGGGGAUGGACUCGCGGCUUAUCAGCUUGUUGGUGGGGUAGUGGCUUACCAAGGCUUUGACGGGUAGCCGGCCUGAGAGGGUGACCGGCCACAUUGGGACUGAGAUACGGCCCAGACGCCUACGGGAGGAAGGAGUGGGGAAUAUUGCACAAUGGGCGGAAGCCUGAUGCAGCAACGCCGCGUGCGGGAUGACGGCCUUCGGGUUGUAAACCGCUUUCGCCUGUGACGAAGCGUGAGUGACGGUAAUGGGUAAAGAAGCACCGGCUAACUACGU